AUGCAUGCAUUCAUGAUCGAUCGCGUCGUGUCUUCGCCGUGGAGGUGCGCAAGGAGAGCGCUGGGACCGCCCGUCCAGACCGGAACCCAUGGCGCCGCCGCCGCAGCGGCCGCCUCUGCGGCCAUCCACGCGAACGCGUCCCCGACCACGCAGGUUACCCUGGUGCCGCCCGCGGAGGCGCGAGCCGUCUCCAGCGCCUCCCUGACGCUGCCGGCCUCAGCAGCCGCCAAGAAGAGGUUCAGACGCAUCAUAGGGUGCGGCGGCGUCACCUCCCCGGCGCCACCUGACAAACCGUCCGCGACCUCCACGAAGCGUAGGUUACCCUCGAGCGCGUUCUGCUCCUGCGCCUGUAGCUGCGCGAGGGAGCUGGCGGUGGAGAGGAAGGAGAAGGUCGCCGCCGCCGCCACCGCCGCUAGGGUGCGCGCUAGCCGGAACAGCUUCACCGCGUGGGAGGCGAAGGGAAAGGCGAUCACCACAACGUGCGGCGCCGCCGUCAUCGUCUACUGUUAG
RNAcentral lists this ribosomal RNA (510 nucleotides) under Triticum aestivum (bread wheat). RNAcentral's name for it is "partial small subunit ribosomal RNA". The record is from RNAcentral. Lineage: Eukaryota; Viridiplantae; Streptophyta; Magnoliopsida; Poales; Poaceae.